Hevea brasiliensis (rubber tree) is the source of this 371-nucleotide long non-coding RNA. RefSeq lists it as uncharacterized. The transcript is spliced from 3 exons. NCBI's taxonomy places the organism in Eukaryota, Viridiplantae, Streptophyta, Magnoliopsida, Malpighiales, Euphorbiaceae. The record is from RefSeq and is a predicted model, not a curated record.
CCAAAACCACCAUGAAAGCUCAUUUUUGAGCUUGAAGAACCAAAAUCCAACCAUGGCCAAUUGUCCUACCAUAACUAGAUGUUGUUUGGACAACUAGGAAAGAGGAUUCAAAGAAAAGAAAGAAGAAAAAUUUGAAGAAAAGGGAGAAGAAAUUCUGCACACAAGUUGAAAAGAAUAUCGGGAAGGAACCCGAGGAAACGAGUCGAGGCUAAGGGACGACUCGCUUGAGAUAAAAGCAAGGAGAAAGCAGCAGAGUGAGCUGCGGAAUUGACAAGAUCUUUUUGAUCCCUUUUUGUACGGGUAUUAUUUUAUACCCUUAUGGUUAUUUUGAUGUAAAUACUGUAAUGUCAUAAGUAUCAAUGUAAAUUGAG